AGGUAAUAGAUACCCGGGUAGUCCACGCCGUAAACGAUGCGCACUAGGUGUCGGGGGUAUCGACCCCCUCGGUGCCGCAGCUAAACGCGAUAAGUGCGCCGCCUGGGGACUACGGCCGCAAGGCUAAAACUACAAAGGAAUUGACGGGGGGCCCGGCACAAGCAGCGGAGCGUGUGGUUUAAUUCGACGCAACGCGAAGAACCUUACCUGGGCUUGACAUGCACGUGGUACGGAGCCGAAAGGCCGAGGACCCGCAAGGGAGCGUGCACAGAUGCUGCAUGGCUGUCGUCAGCUCGUGCCGUGAGGUGUUGGGUUAAGUCCCGCAACGAGCGCAACCCUCGCUGCCAGUUACCAUGUCUGGCGGGACCGCCGGGUUCCAACCCGGGAGGAAGGUGGGGUAUGACGUCAAGUCAGCACGGCUCUUACGCCCAGGGCUACACACACGCUACAAUGGCCGGUACAACGCGCAGCGAU
Molecule: ribosomal RNA, 474 nt
Filed under: uncultured bacterium
Lineage: Bacteria
Description: bacterial SSU rRNA
Rfam family: Bacterial small subunit ribosomal RNA
Source: RNAcentral